GAAGAGGAAAACGGGGGAAAGAAAAAUCUAUACUUAACAAAUUGUAUGCUCAUUUCGUAUCGAUGAGAUUUUCCCCAUUAAUAAAAAUUGCAUACAAUCCUAAAACUUCUUCCCAAGAUCAAAACUAAAAGGCGUGGCGAUUUACUAGCCAUCCAAUUGCUACUGCGAAUUGAUUUUUCUUUUGAAUUUGGAUCCCACUUGCUAUGAUUGAG
RNAcentral lists this long non-coding RNA (212 nucleotides) under Salvia miltiorrhiza (redroot sage). RNAcentral describes it as "long non-coding RNA (SMIL_LNC011039)". Lineage: Eukaryota; Viridiplantae; Streptophyta; Magnoliopsida; Lamiales; Lamiaceae. The record is from RNAcentral.